CUGUAUUUCUGUGAUCCUGGUGAUAGGGACUGGAAACUGUGGCUGAAGUAUCUUUCACAAAGGAGGGUCUGAAAGGAACAAUUCAGUGUAGGAUGGUAAAAAGUAGCAACUGUUUCUUCCUUUGGGAUCUGCUUCACAGUUUCCAUUCCCAGAAGGUUGUUGUUGGUACUCCAUGCAUGAAAUCCUAGUUGUAGAUCAGAAGAAAGAUUCAAAAUGUGAAAGAAAAGAAAAACAUAUUGACUCUCUUUACAAGUCUUGGAAGAAAUUCUAGAAAAUCUGCCUUUAUCUCUUUGGCCAGAAUUUCAUCCCAUGCCCUCUUCUACCCCCUUAGAAAGGAUCAAAAAAUAGUCUUUUAAAUGAGCACAUUGUCACGUGAUAGAGGUAACUUUUCAGCAUUGCCAUCUUUCAGAAGAAAAAAAAAAUCCCAUAAAGUCUUACUGAAAUUUAUUACAGGUAUAGAGAUGUAAGAAUCACAGACAAAUCAUUUGGCUAUUUUGGCUUAUGUCACUUUCCCCAACAACACUUUACUAUGAACCCCCCCCCCCAUUCCUUCCAAAAACUUUUUAUAAAGCCAGAGCUUCCAACCUGUGACUUUUCCUGCUGUAUACAGACCUCUGGAACUGUCCAGUAAGUGGCAACUGUUUCUUCCUUGGGAUCUGCUUCGCAGUUCCUGCCUGGUUCCCCCUCAGUUCUUUGAGGGACUCAAGUGACUGAUCAGCUAGGUAGAAAGCUGGAGAACAAGAAUAAGGACUGCAGCCAUUUAUCAUGUGCCAGGAGCUUCUGUUAAAUAACUAAUUUUUAUAACAACAUAUUGAAGAAGCUGUCAUCUCAUUAUCACCAAUGAGGGAAUUCAGGCUCAAGCGACUGUAGUCAACAGCCCAAAUCUUGUUUAAGCAGUGCCUGUAUUAUUUGUGGCUUCUACAUGUAUUCCCUUGUGCCUUCCUUCAUUCAGUAUUUCAUUAUGUUCUCAUGAAAGCUCAAUGAGAACAUAAAUGACAGGUUGGGAUUACAACCAGGGUCAAACAGUCAAGAAAGUCCACUUCCUUCAGCUGUCUCUGAAGCUACAAGGGUUUCUAGAUCUCUUAUCAUAAAAGCCUCCUCUUGACAUGUGCUGGUUUGUCAAUGCCAUUCUGGAAAUACUGCUCAGACUUGAACCUAAUUCCUAGAUGUGGAGGAAAAGCAAAACUAAACGAACCUCAUUUAAGACAUUCUGAAUUGUGGAUAGUCAGAUCAAAGUGGAAAACGACUCUAAUUUAAAAAGUUGAAUUACUAGCAGCAAGUGCUGAGCCUAGCACAAGUUGAAUAUGGAGAUUUUGCAAAAACUAGGGUUGCACAGUUUACUGAUGAGUUUAUUUAGCAGAAAGUGAGAACUGUCUACAGAUAACUGAAGGGUUGUCAGGUGGAGUGGAUAUUUGUGUUGUCUUUAUUGCUAUAAUAACCUUCUACUAACAGUAAUAACUUAUUUAUGGAACACUUUCUAAAUAUUACCUAAGUAAAUGACUUGGAAUAUAUUUUAUCUUAAGUUUAUUAUUUUGGAAUUACUAAUUCUAUAAAACACAAAAGGCUGCUGAGGUUUGGAGAGACAGGGACACUCUCAGAGUAAGUAGUAAUAAUGAGAAUCAAGUCUGUAGCUCUGCUGACAAAACCCAAAGCAAAGAAAUUACUGAAUUUUGGACAUUUUCAUUUCUGUCCAGGGCCUCAGUUUCUCAUCUGUAAAAUAAGCAUUUUGAAUCCUGAGGUUUAUAUAAGCAGUGGUGUGCUAGAGCCCAUGUGGACUCUGAGUGCUGAUGGUUUUACUUUUGAAAAAUUUGUGAGCUGUUUUUAAACAUAGCCAUCACUGACAAGUAUACUAUAUAAAGUAUGAAUUUAACAUGACAUUAAAAUAUAAAAUAUCCCAAUUCAUCAUUUUGUAACACUUGACUUCAUUUGACUAUUAUUGAUCCUCUUUAGGGUAUUAAUAGCUGUUGCAUCUCUGUGGUGGAAAUAUUAUGAAAUGGCUGUGCUACUUCCAUCUUUUUCUAGCUUCUCAUUCAGUGGGGUCAUUUUGUAGCUUGAUAUCUGCCAGAUUUGGGAGUAUUUACACCAUGAAAAUUGGUAAAUGCUACAAAUUGAGGUUUGGUUCAUUGUUUUAUUGAUUGUAUUGGCUUAUGAAACUAAUGGAAAAUAUUCAAGUUAGAAUGUCACACCUAUAGGCAUUACAUUGGAGGUGCACAAAAAAUAAGGAAAUGUUCUAAUGUCUGGAAACUAUCGUCCAAUUCAGAAAAGAAAGCACUCAAUGUCUUUAAUGAAUGAAAGAAGUUACAACUUAGGACUUUGUUUUACUUUGUCUCCUUCAUUAACACAAAUGAAUGUUGGUGGAUAUUUUUCAUUGGUCAGGUGUGACUGUAGCUUAACUAUAAUGAAAAAUUCAGUACAGUGAAAAUAUUCAGUAAAAAUCAGUUGGCUAUAUGGAAUUUAUAAUAAAGAAUGCUAUUUUAUUAACUUGAGCUACAUAUCCUUUAUAGAAAUAGUGUAUUGUGCAUACACACACACACGCUUUAAGUUUGUGUAUAAAUGUAAAUAUGAUUAUAUAUACACAGAGACAUACACGUAAUAUGCUGGAGAACUGGUUCUUAAAUGUUUUCUGGCACCUAUUUAAAUUGCUUAUAAGGCCUUCCUCAUCUUUGAUAUUUUUAGGAGUCUAACCAGGACCAGCAGGUAGAGACCUCGAGAAGCCAAGCACUAUGAAAAACUAGGUCCCCGUCACUAUGCUCAUGACAAAGCCACUUCGCAGGGGAAAGGAGGAUGUGGAUGAUGUUGGAUGUUCUUCUUCCCCAAUCAGAAAGGUUCACAGCAGCUAAAGAGGAGGACACUGGUGGGAAAGGUGAGUGGGCAUUGUAUUCCCAAGGCAGUAGCCGAUGGCUCAGGAGACAUAAGAACUUACCAAGAGUCUUAUUCUUGAUAUCCCUACAUAAAUAGAAACUUUCUGGGUGGCUAGGGGCAGAAUGCAUAGCCUCUGGAGCCAAUUUCUUUCACUUACGUGUAUGCUUCCUCACUGGCUGUGCAUUUCAGGUGUUUAUGUAUUAGCCUCUCAGGUGAGUCCUCUUGGGUCUGAGGAGUAGGUCUAGCUAAAAAUGAGACUGCUCAAGAAAUUGUUGAUCGCCGUGCCUUUUGAAGGAACUCAAUACAAAUUCAAUCUGCCCUCCCCUUUAGUUCCUCAAAUUCUAGAACGGUGCAGAGAUUAUAAGAAAACCUUCUCUCAAUAUAUUCUCUCUGAGGCAUAGCCGCUCUCCACGGCUCCAUCCAUAAACACAGAGGGCUUGUCUCUUCAUUAAGAGAUAAUGUCUUGCCAUGUUAUCUGUAUGUUGAACUGCAGUGGUGUCCUUAGAACUUCAGGACCAGAUUCAACUAAAGCAAACCAGUGAGUAUGUUUUCUUUAACUUGGUCUUGAUUCUCAUGUAACAUCAGUGAAAAGCCAAGUAGAGAGAAUUUGAGUGUAAGAAAGCUAAUUUCAAUUUAAAUGCCGACUGUGCUCCAGAAAUGUUCUAAACCCAUUACGUAUACUCUCUAUUCUAACCUUCACUAUUCUAUAAAGGAAUAGUCAGGCUGAGAGGUUAAGAUGGAUUACCUGAUACCAAACCAAAUACCUUGUAGGUGGCAGACCCAAGAUCUGAGCAGCUCAUUCUUUCAUAUAAAUCUUAGUGCCUCUUUGUAGAAAGCGUCUAUUUGUAAAUAGAUAUUUCAACAUUUAUCCAUAGGAUAAACAUUCAACUGAUAUUUCGUAAUUAUUUCUAGGACUAGAGUAUCAUAGUGAUGAAUUAGAGGGCAAAGGAGUAUUUUGAAAAAAAAAAAGUGGAGAUUGUUUUGGUUGUUUUUCACUGCUUCAAAGACUUAGGAAAAAAAGAAACCCAAAUGGAGAGGAAACAGACGCAUUCUGAACUUGAACCCAGGUACACAUGGUAUAGUCAGCUGUCAGAGACCCCAGCUCCCCACGCCCAGGCUUUCUCUCUAACCACUGUACCCCGCAGCCUCCUUGCACAUGUGACCAUGUUCAGUUUCCUUCAUUCAUCAUCCACUGUCUCUAAGCUCCUCCUGGUCUUCUGGUUCUUCUCACUCUUCAUCCUUGCAGAAAACACUUACAACAAAUUCUAGCCCUCGAACCCCUAAUUUUAGUCCCUGUGGCCCCAAGAACAAGCACGAAGGCACUAGUUUCAAUAUUGUUUUCCUUAUCUAUUCUGAAUUGGUGUCUCUAGAGCUGCUGUCACUGAGGGUAUGACAUAUAUACUCUGCCAAGAUUUAUAAGAAUCAUGACCUCACAAGAAGCCUAAAGAAGCGUUAGGCUUAAAAUCAUUCACCAGUAUGUGGCAAAUCUCCAUAGCCCUCAUAACUUCCUUAUUUAUAGAUACCUGCUGCAUUUUUUCCAAGGAGCCUUAGCUUUUAACAUCCUGUAGAGUGAUGUAUGUGAACCUCUUAUUAACUGAAAAUUAGGAACUCAAAGUAUUUCCUGGAGUUGAGAAACAAGUUCCAGAAUUGCUGAAAUGACUUUGCAUAUGCACACACACCACACCCCCACACUCUCUCUCUGGAAUUCCGUAAUGGAGUAAACACAUUUUGAUCUAAUUAACAGUCUCAGAGAUGAUGGCAUGUAUAUUGUACUGGUACAACCUAUAAGUCAUCCUAAAUCUCUACGUUGGCAAUACUCUAUGUGCAAACUGUUCAGGACACUCUCCAAAGAGAAUUGAGCAACCUUCUUUUAGAAGGAUAGUGACAGCAUUGAUUUGCGCUUUAUGUCCUUAUAAGUGAUGGAGACAGAAAUCAUUCUGAGUCAUGUUCAGAAGGUAUGUAUACCUGCUGAGCUUUAAAAAGUGAUGGUUUGUAAGUCAACUAGUUAGUUUUCCUAAAGAUACUUUUUAAAAGUUUUGAGACACAAAAGAAAAAAAAUAAACAAAAAAGUCUCUCAAAGCAGUUACCCUUUCUUCUCUCCCUUGUGCAUUUCAAAGAAGCUAUUCAAAGCUAGUAUAUGCAAACUUAUAACCCAGGACCAUGCAACCAGCCCAACUAUCAAUUUAUGUUCUUUUUUGGAAACAGCUUGUAUUUUGCAAACCACUUUCCCUUUUAAUUAUUAUAACAAUGACUUAGAAUAAUGUUUCUCUUAACUCAGAGGCUAUAUUCUCAUUACCCACUGCAUGGCUGGUCCCUUUUUUUUCCCACCAGUAUAUGGCAUUCUACAGCAGGUAUGGGGUUUGUAUCUUUCCAGGCCAGCCUGUCUGGAAAGAGCUUUAUGGCAACACUACUGAAUAUUUUCUCCCCUCAGUCUCCAUAAAAUGGCCACUUUCUUGAUUUCCACAUCUGCCAAGCUGGAGUGGUGUCACCUUCUUUGGGUGGCUGCUAGGAGCAAAUGAAAUAGCUCUUGGCACAUGCUUCUUUCUCUGUAACAAUUAUUAAUUACUAUUCUUGUCCUCAUCUUCACUAGGGGGACUCCUGGGAGAAAGACAGUGGACUUUGAUUAAGAAGGGCUUGUGCCCAUCCCAGGGCUGCUGGUCAGUCUCUGGGCCUGUUUUCUCAAUUGGGAAAAGACUUCUGAGUUGUGAGCCAGUCUCAUGAUCUUAGCAUUGUUUAUAGUUUUCACAUAACCUAACAUUUAUUUGAUUACUUUAUGCAUAUUGAACACUGAUCUAAAUAAUUUACGAAUGUUUGUUUCAUUUAUAUAUCUUUAACGUGAUAUUUUAAGUUUUUGAAAUCAAAGUAAAUAUUGCAUUAUCCCAGAUGGCAGAUGAGGAAGUGGAAACACACUGUGGAUACCCAAUUUUCCCAAAGUUUUGCAACAAUUAAGAGGGGAACCAAGCAAUUUGACCUCAGACUAUGAAGCCUUGAUGAAUAUCCUUCACCACCACCAAUUCAACUCACUGCAGUGGCCUCCUGGGCACCAGCAUUCCCAGCAUCAAUUCCCCUGACUCAGUGGUGUUGACCAUUCAGUACAGGCCCUGUAGCCAUUUAAAACCAUUUCCAUGGUCACUACUGAUUCAAUUGCACUCAUUUCUACCCACACUGCUUUCCUGCCUUUCUUCUCUUCAUUACGCUUCCUCUGUUUCUUUUCCCCUCCAGCAAAAAUGUAUUCCAGGAGAUCUACUCAGGAUUGAGGAUUCCGAGAAGAAUGAGAGAGUGUUGCUGGUAAGAAACAUGGCACAGUGGCAUUGAAGUAGGAGGGCAAAGGUCAAUUUGACACGGGAAAACUGUAAUGUCACACAUUAAGUUCCCUCGAGAGGCAGAGAGAAUAAGAGAGAGAGUUGGAAACACAGAACACAGGCCCAGAAAGUCACAUGUCCAAGCAGGGGCAGAGAGACAGGAAACAGAGUGGACAGAA
This 6343-nucleotide long non-coding RNA is filed under the name Sus scrofa (pig). Its description in RNAcentral is "lncRNA (ENSSSCG00035027266.1)". The record is from RNAcentral. Lineage: Eukaryota; Metazoa; Chordata; Mammalia; Artiodactyla; Suidae.